Molecule: ribosomal RNA, 253 nt
Filed under: uncultured bacterium
Lineage: Bacteria
Description: partial 16S ribosomal RNA
Rfam family: Bacterial small subunit ribosomal RNA
Source: RNAcentral
UACGAAGGGGGCUAGCGUUGUUCGGAAUCACUGGGCGUAAAGCGCACGUAGGCGGAUUUGUAAGUCAGGGGUGAAAUCCCGGGGCUCAACCUCGGAACUGCCUUUGAUACUGCAAGUCUCGAGUUCGGGAGAGGUGAGUGAAAUUCCUAGUGUAGAGGUGAAAUUCGUAGAUAUUAGGAAGAACACCAGUGGCGAAGGCGGCUCACUGGUCCGGUACUGACGCUGAGGUGCGAAAGCGUGGGGAGCAAACAGG